Molecule: unclassified non-coding RNA, 4209 nt
Filed under: Portunus trituberculatus (swimming crab)
Lineage: Eukaryota; Metazoa; Arthropoda; Malacostraca; Decapoda; Portunidae
Description: aminoacyl tRNA synthase complex-interacting multifunctional protein 2-like, transcript variant X1
Source: RNAcentral
GUGUAUAAAACCGAGAAAUAGCAAGAAUAUAAAAACACGUCAUUGUAGUGAAUAAGAUCAAGGCAGCCACACGGAGCCACGCGGACAGUGGACACCACCACCAUCACCAUAACCCGGCCAAACAUCCCACAUUUUCUUUAAUAUCUCUGCUAUUCUUGGUCCACGCAGGAUGUACCGGUGUCCCAAGCUGGUGGAUGUCCCGGUGGUGGUGGAGCUGCCCUCUGUCAUGUACAAAAUGGCACCUUUUAGCUUAAAAAGCCACGAUUCGAGUCCCGCCCAGCUGGUGCAAACUUCCAAGGGGUGUCCGGCGGCCUCAGCACUGGAGGCGAGACAAGAGGCUGUGCUAAAACGACUACAAAAUUUGAAAGACCAGCUGGACCAUUUGCAAUCCACUCGAACGACUACUGCUACUGCUGCUGCUACUACUGCUGCUGCUGCUGCUGCUACUGCUGGUGGUCUUGGGGCUGCUGCAUGCUCCUCGCCACUUAAGACACCAUCCAGCCCCAUACAAGACUUGGUGAUUGCCGCCAGCCCCGCCAGCCCCCCUCUGUCCCUGCUGGUGCUGCGGAGACUGCUGGGCCAAUCAGGACUGCCCGUUCACUGCUCCAGCCGCCUCCACUCCUCCGUACCGCAGGUGCGUCCAGAGCUACAGGCGGCCUUCACAGAGAGUCCCCUGGAGGAGCGGAGCAAACACAGUGUGGCGUUUUCUCUCCAGUGGAGCGACGUGCCCUCCCCUUCCCUCAUGAUCAACCCCCUGCGGCAAACCAGAAUCGCGGGGGAAGCCAAUAUUCUCCGCUACGUCACCCGGUUGCUGCCAUCGACCUCCCCUUACAAUUUUGAAGCCACAGGGACAUUUACUAGCAUUGCCGAGACUGACUCCUUGCUGGACACUCUGGAGGGCAGCCUGGUGUGGGGGGGUGCCAAGGAGAGGGCCGCAGUCAUGAGGGAGAUCGGAAAAAGGUUAAGCCGUUCAGCGUUCCUGUGUGGGGGUCAGUGUGGUGUGGUGGACCUGCUGGCGUGGUCACUGGUGCGGCAGAGAGGGGGUGCGGUGGACCAGGCUAUCGGUAAUUGGCUGGCACGGGUCGACGCCUUGGCUGGCAUAGAUCUCACCAAAAUAACAACUACAACAACAACAGCAACUAAACAGCAGCAGAAAAGCAAGCCACAACCACCAGCACAAACAACAACAACAACAACAAAGGAAGGAGGAGAGAAGAAAAUCAGUCCACAGAAUGAGAAGACUUAUUUAGGAAGGAAGGACCUCGAGAAGUACUUGAAGGAGCUUGGUGUGGCUUUCCAGAUCAAGGAGCACCAGGCAGUGAUGACGGUGGAGGCGUUGAUGGGUGAAGUGGAAGGAUUGCCGGGAAUCAUCACCAAGAAUCUUUUCCUCAGAGACAAGAAGAAAACGCUUUAUAUUCUGUCCACCAGGCAUGAUACUGAGAUCGACCUCAAGACACUCGCCAAGAAAAUUAAUGCGAAGGACUUGCGUUUCGCUGACGGCACCACACUCUACGACACAUUGGGGGUGCGUCAGGGCUGUGUGACCCCCCUGGCCCUUAUCAACGACCCUGGGCACACUGUGAAGGUCCUGCUGGAAACGCCCCUGAUGGAACUGGCAACAGGGCAUAUCUAUUUUCACCCCCUGAGUAAUGAUGCUUCCCUGGGGCUUAAGCCGGCCGGUCUCCAGAGGUUCCUUGAAGCCACGGGACAUGCUCCGCCCACACUGGUCCAGCUGUGAGCUUGAAAUAAAUUGAAACUUGUCUCGCUCUCUCAUUUCCUUUCCCUUUGCAUGUUGGAGGGGGUGAAAGUGCACACACACACACACACACUCACACACACUCACUAUCUAUUUGUCUAUCUAUUGUUCUGUUUCCUUAGUGGUUGUAAUGCAUGUUUGAAAAUUAUUAUUAUUAUUAUUAUUAUUUAUUUAUUUAUUUUAGUGGAGCCGAAAUGUUGGUUCCUUUUUGAGUCAGUUUUGAAUUGAGAGAAAAAUUUGUGUGUUUAUUAAUUUAUUUUAUUUAUUUAUAUUUUCUGACAGAGAGAGAGAGAGAGAGAGAGAGUAAUUACGAAGGAAAAUAAGAAAAACACAAACCGGGCCAUUUUAUUUCAUUUUUAUUGUAUUUUUCUCCAUUCUACGGUAAACAAUAUAGAAAAAACUCGAAAAAAAGAAAUAAAACGCGCUAAACUAACAAUAAAUACAAAAGCUUAGUGUAUAAACAGCUCUCUCACUCUCUCUCUCUCUCACUCUCACUCUCUCACUCUCAGGCCAAACAAGCGACUAUAUAAAGUAAACAAAUUAAGUUCUGUUUGUUACGGUUGUUUGUUUUGAGAAGACGUCGAAAAUUUGUGUGUUUUAGUGACGAUGGGGACGUAUUUGAGUGUUUUUAUCAAUUGUGUGGUAGAAUAGGUUGAAAAUUAAGAGUCUGGGUGAAGAAUAGGUAGAAAUAUAUUAAAAUGUGUGUGUUUUUGAGGACGUAAAGGUGGAAAUUUGAGUAUUUUGUGGAGAAUAGGUUGAAAAUUGAGUGUUCGGGGAAAUAUACAUAGAAAUAUUUGUGGGGACGAGAAGGUUGAGAUUUGAGUAUUUUGGAAGAAUAAGUGAAAAUUGUUUUUUUUUUUUUUACAAAUGAGAAAAAUGAGUGUUUUGAAGUAACAUGCUAAAAUCUUGAUGCUUUAUCUUCGGAGAGACGUCAGAAUAUUAAAAUACCUUUUUUCAGAAAUACGUAAAAAUUGAAAAAAAAAAAAAAAAUCAUUAAUAGCUACAAAAAUUCUUAAUACUUACAAAAAGAAAACCGUAAAAUCAAACAUUUAUGAAAGCGUCGUAGAAAAUGUUUAGCAAAUACAAGUUAAUUGAAAAAGCUGUUCCAUGCGUUUGGUAAUCAAGAAAAGUGCUUUAUAAAACAGUUAAUAUCCCACAUUGACUCAAAAUAAAGCUACAAAUUGGAAUAAAUAAAUAAUGAAGCAUCUGAUUAGCAAAUACAAGUUAAUGAAGAAGUCUUGUAAAAUAUUAAGAAUAAAACGCCUUAUAAAACACUAUCAAUAUCCCACAGACACCACAAAUAAAACAAAAAAACACAUUAGAAUUGUUAUAUGCGAUCAGCUGCACCAUGCGUUUCGUAAAUAUGAAAUAGAAAAAACAGCGCUUUAUAAAACACUAUUAAUAUCCCACAUUGAGCAUACAUACAGCCACAAAUUAAACUGGAAAAAGCAUCAGAAUUGUUACAUCUGGUUAAUGGUGAGCCGUGCCGAGUGUUUGGUAAAUACUGAAAUGAAAGCUUUAUAAAUCACUUAAUAUUCCAGACACCAUUAUAUUCUCAACUUAUGAGUAAAAAAACUGAAUUAUUACAACUGAAUGACAAAUAUAAGUUAAUGAUGAGCUGUGGUGUGUGUUUGGUAUAAGAAAAUAAAUAAAUAAAAACUUGACAGAACUUAUAAUAUCCCACUGCAUAUAAAUAGUCUCAACGUCAAUAUUUUUUGUUAGAAUUGUUACGUCGGGUUAGGAAAAUACACAGGAACCCUUUCACUGCGUUCGGUCCAUGUUUCUGUGAGUGUGUCGAAAAAUUGCAUAAUCUAUUAGUUUUUUUCCAGUUUCCUUUCUUGUAGACGCUUGUAAAGACUUCACACACUACUGGUGGUGACUGUCUUGUAUGUGUUUCAUUGAUUACUUGUCGAGAAAUUGCUAACUCUUCUCCGUUUUUUCCAAUUUCCUUUCUUGUACACACUCCGAAAGACUCCAAGCAUUACUGGUGGUGGUGGUGGUGACUGUUUUGUAUGUGUUUGGUGUGUUUCCUUGAUUACUUGUCGAGAAAUUGCAUAAUCUAUUAGUUUUUUCCCGUUUCCUUGUUUGUAGAUGCUUGUAAAGACUUCACACAAUACGGCAGUGAAAGAGUUAAAUGGAGAAACCGUAGUGUGCGUUUCACAAUUACAAAUAAAAACGCUUUAGAAAACACUAUUAUCCCACAUCUGAGUAUAGAUAAAAGUUACAAAGGAAAUAAGGAAAGCUAUUACGUCUACGCACCUCAGUAUUUGUCAGGUCAGAGGCAGGACAUGUACAAAGUUGUCAUUUGCUUACAUUUAUUAAGUGUUAUUGUUAUUUGUAGACACUCAAAUUGCAAGGCUGUCACAGAUUGGAGGUGGUGGUGGUGGUAGUAGUAGUAGUGUAAAAUUGGGAAGGUAGGGAAAGAAUGGAAGGAAAAGAGAGAGAGAGAGAGA